Molecule: ribosomal RNA, 490 nt
Filed under: uncultured bacterium
Lineage: Bacteria
Description: partial 16S ribosomal RNA
Rfam family: Bacterial small subunit ribosomal RNA
Source: RNAcentral
AUUGAACGCUGGCGGCAUGCUUUACACAUGCAAGUCGGACGGCAGCACAGAGAAGCUUGCUUCUUGGGUGGCGAGUGGUGAACGGGUGAGUAAUAUAUCGGAACGUACCGAGUAAUGGGGGAUAACUAAUCGAAAGAUUAGCUAAUACCGCAUAUUCUCUGAGGAGGAAAGCAGGGGACCUUCGGGCCUUGCGUUAUUCGAGCGGCCGAUAUCUGAUUAGCUAGUUGGUGGGGUAAAGGCCUACCAAGGCGACGAUCAGUAGCGGGUCUGAGAGGAUGAUCCGCCACACUGGGACUGAGACACGGCCCAGACUCCUACGGGAGGCAGCAGUGGGGAAUUUUGGACAAUGGGCGCAAGCCUGAUCCAGCCAUGCCGCGUGUCUGAAGAAGGCCUUCGGGUUGUAAAGGACUUUUGUCAGGGAAGAAAAGGCUGUUGCUAAUAUCGACAGCUGAUGACGGUACCUGAAGAAUAAGCACCGGCUAACUACGUG